UGAGGAAUAUUGGGCAAUGCCCGCAAGGGUGACCCAGCAACACCGCGUGGAGGAUGAAUGUCGUAAGACUGUAAACUCCUGUUAGAGGGGAAGAAUAGUACCGGUUGGACCGGUAUAUGACUGUACCCUCAGAGAAAGCCCCGGCUAACUACGUGCCAGCAGCCGCGGUAAUACGUAGGGGGCAAGCGUUGUCCGGAUUUACUGGGUGUAAAGGGCGCGCAGGCGGGAUAAAAAGUCAGUGGUGAAAUCCUACAGCUUAACUGUAGAACUGCCUUUGAUACUUUUAUUCUUGAGUUCGGGAGAGAGAGACGGAAUUCCAGGUGUAGUGGUGAAAUACGUAGAUAUCUGGAAGAACACCAGUUGCGAAGGCGGUCUCUUGGUCCGACACUGACGCUGAGGCGCGAAAGCGUGGGGAGCAAACA
Molecule: ribosomal RNA, 422 nt
Filed under: uncultured bacterium
Lineage: Bacteria
Description: bacterial SSU rRNA
Rfam family: Bacterial small subunit ribosomal RNA
Source: RNAcentral